Molecule: ribosomal RNA, 595 nt
Filed under: uncultured Bacteroidota bacterium
Lineage: Bacteria; Pseudomonadati; Bacteroidota
Description: bacterial SSU rRNA
Rfam family: Bacterial small subunit ribosomal RNA
Source: RNAcentral
CAACCUGCCCACCACUUGGGGAUAACCUUGCGAAAGUAAGACUAAUACCCAAUGAUAUCUCUAGAAGACAUCUGAAAGAGAUUAAAGAUUUAUCGGUGAUGGAUGGGGAUGCGUCUGAUUAGCUUGUUGGCGGGGUAACGGCCCACCAAGGCAACGAUCAGUAGGGGUUCUGAGAGGAAGGUCCCCCACAUUGGAACUGAGACACGGUCCAAACUCCUACGGGAGGCAGCAGUGAGGAAUAUUGGUCAAUGGACGAGAGUCUGAACCAGCCAAGUAGCGUGCAGGAAGACGGCCCUAUGGGUUGUAAACUGCUUUUAUAAGGGAAUAAAGUGAGCCUCGUGAGGCUUUUUGCAUGUACCUUAUGAAUAAGGACCGGCUAAUUCCGUGCCAGCAGCCGCGGUAAUACGGAAGGUCCGGGCGUUAUCCGGAUUUAUUGGGUUUAAAGGGAGCGUAGGCCGGAGAUUAAGCGUGUUGUGAAAUGUAGAGGCUCAACCUCUGCACUGCAGCGCGAACUGGUCUUCUUGAGUACGCACAACGUGGGCGGAAUUCGUGGUGUAGCGGUGAAAUGCUUAGAUAUCACGAAGAACUCCGAUUG